CUUUAUCUGAGUUUCCUGGCUUUGUUGUGUUGUGAACAUUUUGUAUAAGACUGAUGGAUCGUGUUCUUCCUUGCAUGUUUGAUGAUACGGAUGACACCAAUGUUGCUAUGUGGCCUUAUAGAUACGUGGUAGCUAGUUUUUGACAACCUAUUCUAACUAGCACUCAUGAAGACACACUACAAAAGGAAGACAAUAAUUAGGUUAGAAGACCAUAUCGAGGGAUGGACGCCGACUCACUUUUUUUGCCUAUGGAUGUUUGAUAGAGCUCCAGAUGAAAUUAAGUUUAAUUUGAAGAACCUGAUCUUUAUUGAAGUUGGUAGAGCUAGGUCUCGUCAACUUUAUGAAGCUCGACUAGGCACACAACAAUCCAUCCUACACUUCCAUCACAACCUGCAACCUAUUAUGAAAUAGUUUAAAAACUAUUAAAUUUUUAUGAUAAAAUCAUAUAAAGGUGAUAUAUAGUAUUACUGAAAGUGGAAAUUUAUUUUAAAGGGUAUAUGUACUUCCACUUCUUUCCAUUAGAGCAAUGUACUUUUGAAUUUCUUUUUCUUAUAAAUGAAUUGUGCUUUGACAAA
Lactuca sativa (garden lettuce) is the source of this 575-nucleotide non-coding RNA. Lineage: Eukaryota; Viridiplantae; Streptophyta; Magnoliopsida; Asterales; Asteraceae. The record is from RefSeq and is a predicted model, not a curated record.